Molecule: ribosomal RNA, 253 nt
Filed under: uncultured bacterium
Lineage: Bacteria
Description: partial 16S ribosomal RNA
Rfam family: Bacterial small subunit ribosomal RNA
Source: RNAcentral
UACAGAGGGUGCGAGCGUUAAUCGGAAUUACUGGGCGUAAAGCGUGCGCAGGCGGUUCGUUGUGUCGGCGGUGAAAGCCCCGGGCUCAACCUGGGAAUGGCCGUUGAAACUGGCGAACUGGAGUGUGGCAGAGGGGGGUGGAAUUCCGCGUGUAGCAGUGAAAUGCGUAGAGAUGCGGAGGAACACCGAUGGCGAAGGCAGCCCCCUGGGUCGACACUGACGCUCAGGCACGAAAGCGUGGGGAGCAAACAGG